UACGUAGGGGGCAAGCGUUGUUCGGAAUUACUGGGCGUAAAGAGUGUGUAGGCGGUGCUGCAAGUCUGGUGUGAAAUCUCCCGGCUCAACUGGGAGGGUGCGCCGGAAACUGCAGUGCUAGAGGGUGGGAGAGGUAAGCGGAAUUCCUGGUGUAGCGGUGAAAUGCGUAGAUAUCAGGAGGAACACCUGUGGUGUAGACAGCUUACUGGACCACUUCUGACGCUGAGACACGAAAGCGUGGGUAGCAAACAGG
RNAcentral lists this ribosomal RNA (253 nucleotides) under uncultured bacterium. Its description in RNAcentral is "partial 16S ribosomal RNA". It matches the Rfam family "Bacterial small subunit ribosomal RNA", at positions 524 to 776 of the family's 1533-position model. The record is from RNAcentral.